UUUUUUUUUUUUUUAAAAAAAAAAUUAAUUAAUUUUAUUAGGGAAAGUAAAUACAAAGGCAUAAGCCACAGUUUCAUCUUAUCAAGAUAUUAUUCAUUAGGAAAUUUACAGCAUUCACUGCAAGAGAAAAACUUAUUAUAUAUAUAUGUGUGUGUGAAAUGGAAGGGAGGGUCACAUGAGGUUGCAGGAAUAGUUCAUACAGCUGAAAAGGGUGUAAUCUUGAAAUCAAGAUCCCAUAGCUCAAAAUUUCCCUCGACAAAAUCAUAGUGUGCACCUUUCAAUGCCAGAGUUUUUUUCAGCAAUCCUUCUCUCACGAAUGGAUACGUCAACAAGUUUCCUAGCGAAACAUUCACAGCCUCCUUCUCGCAAUUGUGGCAUUGCUCUUCAAAACUCAAGCUGUUGCAGUCUGUCUUAACCUUGGCCUUUGCAGUUGAGCAGAUUUGGACCCAAUUUUCUAUGAAUUCACUAGAAGUGGUCCCAUCAUCUGGGAUAGACAUGAGCCCCUUAAUACCACCGCAGCGGCUGUGGCCAAUGACUACUAUAUUCUCCACCUUUAGAUGCAGCACUGC
This 569-nucleotide unclassified non-coding RNA is filed under the name Hevea brasiliensis (rubber tree). Lineage: Eukaryota; Viridiplantae; Streptophyta; Magnoliopsida; Malpighiales; Euphorbiaceae. The record is from RNAcentral.